Non-coding RNA from Paramuricea clavata, 459 nucleotides. NCBI's taxonomy places the organism in Eukaryota, Metazoa, Cnidaria, Anthozoa, Malacalcyonacea, Plexauridae. The record is from the annotation of a GenBank genome assembly.
CUUUUGGCAGUUUUGCAUACGUGUUUUAUAAAAGCCCAAUUUUCUUACUUCCACAACGUGUAAAACUUUAUUAAUAAGAACAAAAAUUUGUAAUAGUAAACAGUGUAUUUAUUAUAAAGGAUUUUUCGUUUUUCUGACAUUCUGCUCUUCCGUUCUCCGUGUGCUCCGUGUGCUCCGUGCUCCGUACUCCGUGUUUUACUAAUAGCCGACAUUUUAAGGUUUGCCGAUCCACGACUCGAAAUCAAAGUUCGAGUUGACGGGAUAAAUUUGACCAAGGUAAAACAAAAUUUGUUCGAAUUGGCGAGGAGUUCGAGUUAAGCGAGUUUGAGUUAGCGGGGGACUACUGUAAUAGUAAUUUAUACCAACCUUAGCUCCAGGAUAUGAUUAUCCAGUCCAGUCCGUGUUUUACAAAUUCAGUCCGCGAUUUGUAAAACACGGACUCAGUCCGCGUUUUCCCGG